GUACACAAAAAUGCACAUGCUGUGAGCUCGAUGAGUAGGGCGGGACACGUGGUAUCCUGUCUGAAUAUGGGGGGACCAUCCUCCAAGGCUAAAUACUCCUGACUGACCGAUAGUGAACCAGUACCGUGAGGGAAAGGCGAAAAGAACCCCGGCGAGGGGAGUGAAAAAGAACCUGAAACCGUGUACGUACAAGCAGUGGGAGCACGCUUAGGCGUGUGACUGCGUACCUUUUGUAUAAUGGGUCAGCGACUUAUAUUCUGUAGCAAGGUUAACCGAAUAGGGGAGCCGAAGGGAAACCGAGUCUUAACUGGGCGUUAAGUUGCAGGGUAUAGACCCGAAACCCGGUGAUCUAGCCAUGGGCAGGUUGAAGGUUGGGUAACACUAACUGGAGGACCGAACCGACUAAUGUUGAAAAAUUAGCGGAUGACUUGUGGCUGGGGGUGAAAGGCCAAUCAAACCGGGAGAUAGCUGGUUCUCCCCGAAAGCUAUUUAGGUAGCGCCUCGUGAAUUCAUCUCCGGGGGUAGAGCACUGUUUCGGCAAGGGGGUCAUCCCGACUUACCAACCCGAUGCAAACUGCGAAUACCGGAGAAUGUUAUCACGGGAGACACACGGCGGGUGCUAACGUCCGUCGUGAAGAGGGAAACAACCCAGACCGCCAGCUAAGGUCCCAAAGUCAUGGUUAAGUGGGAAACGAUGUGGGAAGGCCCAGACAGCCAGGAUGUUGGCUUAGAAGCAGCCAUCAUUUAAAGAAAGCGUAAUAGCUCACUGGUCGAGUCGGCCUGCGCGGAAGAUGUAACGGGGCUAAACCAUGCACCGAAGCUGCGGCAGCGACACUGUGUGUUGUUGGGUAGGGGAGCGUUCUGUAAGCCUGCGAAGGUGUGCUGUGAGGCAUGCUGGAGGUAUCAGAAGUGCGAAUGCUGACAUAAGUAACGAUAAAGCGGGUGAAAAGCCCGCUCGCCGGAAGACCAAGGGUUCCUGUCCAACGUUAAUCGGGGCAGGGUGAGUCGACCCCUAAGGCGAGGCCGAAAGGCGUAGUCGAUGGGAAACAGGUUAAUAUUCCUGUACUUGGUGUUACUGCGAAGGGGGGACGGAGAAGGCUAUGUUGGCCGGGCGACGGUUGUCCCGGUUUAAGCGUGUAGGCUGGUUUUCCAGGCAAAUCCGGAAAAUCAAGGCUGAGGCGUGAUGACGAGGCACUACGGUGCUGAAGCAACAAAUGCCCUGCUUCCAGGAAAAGCCUCUAAGCAUCAGGUAACAUCAAAUCGUACCCCAAACCGACACAGGUGGUCAGGUAGAGAAUACCAAGGCGCUUGAGAGAACUCGGGUGAAGGAACUAGGCAAAAUGGUGCCGUAACUUCGGGAGAAGGCACGCUGAUAUGUAGGUGAAGUCCCUCGCGGAUGGAGCUGAAAUCAGUCGAAGAUACCAGCUGGCUGCAACUGUUUAUUAAAAACACAGCACUGUGCAAACACGAAAGUGGACGUAUACGGUGUGACGCCUGCCCGGUGCCGGAAGGUUAAUUGAUGGGGUCAGCGCAAGCGAAGCUCUUGAUCGAAGCCCCGGUAAACGGCGGCCGUAACUAUAACGGUCCUAAGGUAGCGAAAUUCCUUGUCGGGUAAGUUCCGACCUGCACGAAUGGCGUAAUGAUGGCCAGGCUGUCUCCACCCGAGACUCAGUGAAAUUGAACUCG
This 1686-nucleotide ribosomal RNA is filed under the name Escherichia coli. RNAcentral's name for it is "partial 23S ribosomal RNA". It matches the Rfam family "Bacterial large subunit ribosomal RNA", at positions 375 to 2050 of the family's 2925-position model. The record is from RNAcentral. Lineage: Bacteria; Pseudomonadati; Pseudomonadota; Gammaproteobacteria; Enterobacterales; Enterobacteriaceae.